GACGAACGCUGGCGGCGUGCUUAACACAUGCAAGUCGAACGAUGAAGCCCAGCUUGCUGGGUGGAUUAGUGGCGAACGGGUGAGUAACACGUGAGUAACCUGCCCUGGACUCUGGGAUAACCCCGAGAAAUCGGAGCUAAUACCGGAUAGGACCCUGGAAGGCAUCUUUUGGGGUGGAAAGUUUUUCGGUCUGGGAUGGACUCGCGGCCUAUCAGCUUGUUGGUGAGGUAAUGGCUCACCAAGGCGUCGACGGGUAGCCGGCCUGAGAGGGUGACCGGCCACACUGGGACUGAGACACGGCCCAGACUCCUACGGGAGGCAGCAGUGGGGAAUAUUGCACAAUGGGCGCAAGCCUGAUGCAGCAACGCCGCGUGAGGGAUGACGGCCUUCGGGUUGUAAACCUCUUUUAGUAGGGAAGAAGCCUUCGGGUGACGGUACCUGCAGAAAAAGGACCGGCUAACUACGUGCCAGCAGCCGCGGUAAAAC
This 486-nucleotide ribosomal RNA is filed under the name uncultured bacterium. RNAcentral's name for it is "bacterial SSU rRNA". It matches the Rfam family "Bacterial small subunit ribosomal RNA", at positions 28 to 526 of the family's 1533-position model. The record is from RNAcentral.